ACCAAUGGCGGCGACCCACGUCAUCCGCGCCCGGGCUAUUCUUAGAUCGUCCUUCCCGCUAAUUACGGCCCGGGAGACGGCCGAUGGCGGCGGCCCAGUAACGUUAAUUAACGUUAACUGGUUCGGGCAUUCCACCGAUAUUAGUCGGUACGGGCUACCGCUGGCCGGCCCGCCUGACCGGGCACCGCUCUUUUCGCCCCUUACUGCCCGCUGGACCCGGAGCCGGCCGCCUGCCAGGUUAGUUGCGCCGCAUCUGCCGUACCAGGUUUAAACCUCCGACCGGGGACGGUCUCGGAUCGGGUAGGGAGGUGUUUGCACGGGGGUAAAGGCGAGGAAGCGGCCGGACCAUCGCUCGGAUCUUCUUCCCCUACCAUCGACCAGUUUGGAGGCCGUCGACGUCACCUCCGCUCGAGUCUGGAGCGCGGCCAAAAGCGCCAUUCUCGCGUUAAGUGGUUAAAGACGGAAGUCAUUGGGUGGAUCGGGCCGGAGCGGGACCGUCGGCUGGGCCCGCCUGGCCUACUGACGAUGACCGUCACCUUUAUUAUUACCGUAGCGGAAUUAUCUAUUCCGCCGCCGAUAACGAAAUUUAGUGAAGCGCGGAUGAAAAUCUCAGGUAGGAAAUUAAGGCUGGCACCAGCCAGGUGGCCAGAACCCGACUACGUUUGGGACGGGAGCCGACGGUUCCCAUUCCCAUUUCUAGGUUAAUUUACCGCGCCGGCCCUUCCAAUUUGGGUUGGAAGGCCGGCUAGAUUAACCGGCGGUCCGCGGUGCCCGAUCAUUUUUCCCGGCAUCUAAGGUCUACCGUCCGCCACACGCGCUUCUCGUAGCGGAAACCACCUCGGGCAUUCGGGAAGCCCGUCCCUACCGUGCCACAAAAUUAAGUAAUCAGCUUCCGGUAGUCGGUAGUCCGACCGGAAGAAAUAAUAUCGGCGCAGUUUUUACCGAUAUUAUCUACGAUACCGAUAGGAUUGGGAGCGGUGGUGGAAGCGUCCGUAUAGCUGGACAGCCGAUACCCACGGUGCCCAAAGUGAUACCAAUCUCGGUACCGGUUUAGGGCCGGUCGCAGCACUUUCGAUUUAAUCGGAAGAUUAGCUAGGGUAGAUUAACUUUAAUCCGUUGGAAAACCUAUGGGUUAAGUGGAGAGUGUGGCGGUGGG
Molecule: long non-coding RNA, 1156 nt
Filed under: Androctonus crassicauda
Lineage: Eukaryota; Metazoa; Arthropoda; Arachnida; Scorpiones; Buthidae
Source: RNAcentral